RNAcentral lists this long non-coding RNA (325 nucleotides) under Vulpes vulpes (red fox). Its description in RNAcentral is "lncRNA (ENSVVUG00000025811.1)". The record is from RNAcentral. Lineage: Eukaryota; Metazoa; Chordata; Mammalia; Carnivora; Canidae.
AUGAUGCCAGUGUUCACAGAUCCCUGGGCUAGAGGGGACUGGGGGCACAUGGAGGCUUGGUGGAGAAGAAGGAUCCUGGGUCAGGACACGGAGGUGCUGAACACAGCUGUCCUCACCGGGAAGGCCGUGUCGGUUCCUGUCAAGGUCGUGGGCAUUCAGGAGGACGGCUCCGUGGUGGACGUGUCAGAGGCUGUGGAGUGCAGGUCUGCGGACGAAGAUGUUGUGAAGGUACAAGGGUCCUGACCAUCGGGCCUGCCAGGGGUCUGGUCCUCUGAGGGCCCUUCACUCUGUCCCAGGGUCUCAUUGGGCUGGAGCGAGGGUGACA